Molecule: long non-coding RNA, 1703 nt
Organism: Misgurnus anguillicaudatus (oriental weatherfish)
Lineage: Eukaryota; Metazoa; Chordata; Actinopteri; Cypriniformes; Cobitidae
Source: RefSeq, a predicted model, not a curated record
ACCAGCACCAAAACAUGCCGGUACUUGCAUAUGGUGGGCUUUAUGGGGUAGUACAGUGAGUGUGAAGUGAUCUCAUAUUGUGACCUUCAUAUGAGCACACAUUGAGUGUGCAGCGUGCUUACACAUUAAGAUCAUGACCCACACAGUGAGUAUCUUGUGAGCUCAUGGUGACUUCCCUUACGAAAAUUAACCAUGGUUUUACUACAGUCAACUUAAAACCAAAAAAGCAUGGUUACUGUAGUAAAACCAUGGUAACCACAAAAUAACCAUGGUUUUGACAACCAUGUUUUUCUAAAACCACAGAACCAUGGUUAGUGUAGCCGUUUAGUGUAGUAAAACCAUGGUCAAAGACCCGAGGUGAGGUAUACAUUAAAGGGUUAACCUGAAGUAGUAAAACCAAAAGAAAGUCAGCAUCUCUUUAGUGUCCUCACUAAUAUAAGAAAUUACUAGUUUGUCUUCCACCCAGUGCAAGCUUUUUACAUGAACCCCCAAACCCCACCCAGAAAAACACAGCACAACUUAUUAAAGUUUAUUUAAUUUAUUUUAAUGUUUGAUUGUUCUGUGAAAUACAGUGGUAAUUAAGUGCUAAAAAUCUACAAGAAUUGAAUUUGUUUCACGUUUUUUUUUUUUUUUUUGCGCCACUGGGUCAAUACAACGUAGUACGCAUGUGUCUGCAGGAAGAGCCGCUUGUGCGAGUGCUCCAUACUCCAAUCCAGUAGGUGGCGGUAAAUGCACCUUAAGUUGGUUUGCCACCCACCAUUUAAACAACAAAAGAAGAAGAAGAAGAAGAAGAAGCCGCUUGUGCGCAUGUGUCUGCAUCCAAAGGUUACCACGACAAGUUUGCGACUGAGUAAAUACAGAUACUACAGUACGUGAUCUGGAGCUUGACUUCACAUGUUUUGUGGUGAUUAAAGGCGGAGUCUGUGAUGUUUGAAAGCCAAUGUUGAUAUUUGAAAUCACCUAAACAAACACGCCCCUACCCCAAUAGAAUCUGGACCUUCUGUUGAUAGACCCGCCACACACAUAUGCAACCCGGCAAGGAUGUCGGUUAGUAGACACGCUCCUUACUGCUGAUUGGCUAUAAGUGUGUUUUGGUAGUCGGCCCGUCUCCUUUUCCAAAGCGUUUUUCAAACAUCGUGGACUCCGCCUUUAACAAAUUGUGCGGUGCUUUUGGCAUUGUCUAUCCAUGUAUAAUUGUGAUGUUCCAGGAGUGCUAAUGGAAGCUACACGGUAUGUAGAUGUUUGUUCCAGUAUGUUUAUGUGUGUGUACCUGGUAAUUAUCACGUUGUGGGGACCGAAUGUCCCCACAAAGAUAGGAAUACCAGUAAAUUUUGACCUCGUGGGGACAUUUGUGAGGUCCCCAUGAGGAACCAAGCUUAUAAAUCAAACGGAAUGAUGUUUCUUGAAAAUCUAAGGUCGCAGAAAGUUUUCUGUGAUGGUUGGGGUAAGGGUUUGGGGAAGGGAAUAGAAUAUACAGUUUGUACAGUAUAAAAUGCAUUACGUUUAUGGAAUGUCCCCACAAAACAUGGAAACCAGAAUGUGUGUGUGUGUGUGUGUGCGUGCCAUGGAACAAAUAUUUAUUUUAUACCUUUUUGUGUGUUCUGUUUUUGACUUUUUUCCCCUGAUAUCAAGACACCAAAAUAAUGUUUUAAUACGCAUUUUCAUGUGUUUGUAAAGAAAAUAAAUGGUGUACUUCACUGUUA